RNAcentral lists this ribosomal RNA (256 nucleotides) under uncultured bacterium. RNAcentral describes it as "partial 16S ribosomal RNA". It matches the Rfam family "Bacterial small subunit ribosomal RNA", at positions 57 to 305 of the family's 1533-position model. The record is from RNAcentral.
GCAAGUCGAGCGGAAACGACACUAACAAUCCUUUGGGUGCGUUAAUGGGCGUCGAGCGGCGGACGGGUGAGUAAUGCUUGGGAACAUGCCUUGAGGUGGGGGACAACAGUUGGAAACGACUGCUAAUACCGCAUAAUGUCUACGGACCAAAGGGGGCUUCGGCUCUCGCCUUUAGAUUGGCCCAAGUGGGAUUAGCUAGUUGGUGAGGUAAUGGCUCACCAAGGCAACGAUCCCUAGCUGGUUUGAGAGGAUGAUC